CCCUUAGAUGUUCUGGGCCGCACACGCGCUACACUGAAGGGGGCAGCGUGUACUCCUGGAUCGAAAGAUUUGGGUAACCCGCGAAUCUCCUUCGUGCUAGGGAUUGAGGUUUGCAAUUAUCCUUCAUGAACGAGGAAUUCCCAGUAAGUGCAAGUCAUAAGCUUGCGCUGACUACGUCCCUGCCCUUUGUACACACCGCCCGUCGCUACUACCGAUUGAAUGAUUUAGUGAGGACUUCGGACUGGGACCAAUGCGGCUUUCGGGCUGCGUCGGUAUUCUGGAAAGAUGUCCAAACUGUAUCAUUUAGAGGAAGUAAAAGUCGUAACA
Molecule: ribosomal RNA, 327 nt
Filed under: uncultured eukaryote
Lineage: Eukaryota
Description: partial 18S ribosomal RNA
Rfam family: Eukaryotic small subunit ribosomal RNA
Source: RNAcentral